Molecule: long non-coding RNA, 231 nt
Filed under: Prunus persica (peach)
Lineage: Eukaryota; Viridiplantae; Streptophyta; Magnoliopsida; Rosales; Rosaceae
Description: long non-coding RNA (PPER_LNC000826)
Source: RNAcentral
CGUGAUGACGCAAAACUGCUGCCCCAUGAAUUGUAUCACCUUAUUAACAAUAAUGAAUUUUAUCCCAUUCACCUGGGAAAUUGUCUUCGGAUCAAUCUUCCUCAACAACAACCUAUGGACAAUUUGUGCAGUCUACUUAAGGUCCUCAAUCAGUAAUAGAUGAUCAAAACAACUAUCGUGGAGCCUUUGUAACUGUUGUGGACUCAAUUUCUCCUUAAUUAUACUUAUGAC